This 235-nucleotide small RNA is filed under the name Franconibacter helveticus. The record is from RNAcentral. Lineage: Bacteria; Pseudomonadati; Pseudomonadota; Gammaproteobacteria; Enterobacterales; Enterobacteriaceae.
AGGAUUCCGCAACAGGAUGCUGGCGUCAGGAUGACGAACAACGGAUUACGGCCAGGCUGGCCCGCCAGGGGAAGCGGCGUUAAAAGGGAAAAGGAAAGCGACACGGAACGUUGCAGGCUAAGGGAAAGACAGGGGUUGUCGAAAAGCGACAGGGACGGAAAAACCGGUGACCGGUAUAGAGUCAGGAAAAAGGGCGACAGGUAAAUAAUCUGUCGCCUUUUUUCUUUGCUUGCUU